AUGGCUGAACCAACUGGUCUUGCCGAGGCUUUGGAGAAGCUCGCUAAGAUCCUCGCGGAGUCCAACUCUGGGGCCAUCGUUCCUCGACAGGAAGUGGCUCAAAAGCUUGAAAUAUCGCCCCUGGACAUGAAGCUAGAGGGGGCAACAAAUUAUUUGAGCUGGUCCAGAAGGGCUUUGUGGGCUGUGGAGCAGAAGGAGCUUGAUGGAUAUUUGUUGGGCACCGUUGUAGAACCAAGGGACACGAGUAGUGCAGAGGGCAAGAGGUGGAAGGUCAUCCACUCUGUACUUAUGGUGUGGUUGUUGAACUCCGUGGUGCCCUCCAUUGGACGCUCUGUGGAGGGGCUAUCCUCACCUGCUGAGAUAUGGAAGAUUCUGUCCACUCAAUACUCUGGCAAGGGCAAUGUCAUGCUCAUUGCUCAGAUUGAGGACAAGAUUAGGUAG
RNAcentral lists this ribosomal RNA (441 nucleotides) under Triticum aestivum (bread wheat). Its description in RNAcentral is "partial small subunit ribosomal RNA". The record is from RNAcentral. Lineage: Eukaryota; Viridiplantae; Streptophyta; Magnoliopsida; Poales; Poaceae.